Molecule: microRNA, 19 nt
Filed under: Glycine max (soybean)
Lineage: Eukaryota; Viridiplantae; Streptophyta; Magnoliopsida; Fabales; Fabaceae
Description: gma-miR862b
Gene: gma-miR862b
Source: miRBase by way of RNAcentral
GCUGGAUGUCUUUGAAGGA